UACAGAGGUCCCGAGCGUUGUUCGGAUUCAUUGGGCGUAAAGGGUGCGUAGGCGGCUUUCUAAGUCUGAUGUGAAAUCCUGGGGCUCAACCCUGGAACUGCAUUGGAUACUGGGAGGCUAGAGUACUGGAGAGGAAACUGGAAUUUACGGUGUAGCAGUGAAAUGCGUAGAGAUCGUAAGGAAGGCCAGUGGCGAAGGCGAGUUCCUGGACAGUUACUGACGCUGAGGCACGAAGGCCAGGGGAGCAAACGGG
Molecule: ribosomal RNA, 253 nt
Filed under: uncultured bacterium
Lineage: Bacteria
Description: partial 16S ribosomal RNA
Rfam family: Bacterial small subunit ribosomal RNA
Source: RNAcentral